This 279-nucleotide ribosomal RNA is filed under the name uncultured bacterium. RNAcentral's name for it is "partial 16S ribosomal RNA". It matches the Rfam family "Bacterial small subunit ribosomal RNA", at positions 506 to 784 of the family's 1533-position model. The record is from RNAcentral.
UGCCAGCCGCCGCGGUAAUACGGUGGGUGCGAACGUUAAUCGGAAUUACUGGGCGUAAAGCGCGCGUAGGCGGUUUUUUAAGUGGGAUGUGAAAGCCCUGGGCUCAACCUGGGAAUGGCAUUCGAUACUGCAGAGCUAGAGUAUGGUAGAGGGAAGUGGAAUUUCCGGUGUAGCGGUGAAAUGCGUAGAUAUCGGAAGGAACACCGGUGGCGAAGGCGGCUCACUGGGUCUCUUCUGACGCUGAGGUACGAAAGCUAGGGUAGCGAACGGGAUUAGAUA